UGCAUCGGCCGGGAAUCGAACCCAAUCGCCGCGUGGCAGGCGAGCAUUCUACCACUGAACCACCGAUGC
Molecule: non-coding RNA, 69 nt
Organism: Cordylochernes scorpioides
Lineage: Eukaryota; Metazoa; Arthropoda; Arachnida; Pseudoscorpiones; Chernetidae
Source: the annotation of a GenBank genome assembly